UACCAGCACCCCGAGUGGUCGGGACGAUUAUUGGGCCUAAAGCAUCCGUAGCCGGUUCUGCAAGUCCUCCGUUAAAUCCAGCUGCUCAACAGAUGGGCCGCGGAGGAUACUACAGAGCUAGGAGGCAGGAGAGGCAAGCGGUACUCAGUGGGUAGGGGUAAAAUCCGUUGAUCCAUUGAAGACCACCAGUGGCGAAGGCGGCUUGCCAGAAUGCGCUCGACGGUGAGGGAUGAAAGCGUGGGGAGCAAACAGG
Molecule: ribosomal RNA, 253 nt
Filed under: uncultured bacterium
Lineage: Bacteria
Description: partial 16S ribosomal RNA
Rfam family: Archaeal small subunit ribosomal RNA
Source: RNAcentral